GAUGGUAUAGCCAAUUGGUAAGGCACAGGUCUGCAAAAUCUUGAGUAUCGGUUCAAAUCCGAGUACCAUCC
RNAcentral lists this transfer RNA (71 nucleotides) under Enterococcus plantarum. Its description in RNAcentral is "tRNA-Cys". It matches the Rfam family "tRNA". Rfam says of the family: Transfer RNA (tRNA) molecules are approximately 80 nucleotides in length. Their secondary structure includes four short double-helical elements and three loops (D, anti-codon, and T loops). Lineage: Bacteria; Bacillati; Bacillota; Bacilli; Lactobacillales; Enterococcaceae. The record is from RNAcentral.